AGUCAGGGUUGGACUCUUACAUUUCAUUGAAAAUCCUUAAAUAACAAAUUAUGUCAAUAUAGAUUUAAAUGCUUAUGUGUGUUACCUGGAUACUGCACGAAGGAUUUUACAUACGUUUUUCUCAAUCCCCAACCCCAAUAACGUAUAGAUACUACUAUAAAUUCAUUUUACAGAGGAACAAAAACCAAAGCUUAAAAGAAAAAAGAAAAAGAAAAACCAAGGCUUUAAGUUAAAUGAAUUAGAAUACUAUAAGAUUCACUUGAAUCAUGAGUAACUUAUGACCAACUUAAUCCCUUUCAAGUCCUCUGAAUGUUUUUGGAAAUAGCCUUUAAAAAAAUUAAAAGCUCCAAAGACUAUACAAAAAUUAUUUAUACAUUACUGCCCACGGCCUAAUACACAGAGUACUUCACACUAAUACAGCAGUAGGGUGCAACAGAGGUCCAAUCUCUUCCCUUCUCUUGGCUCCACUCUGCCCAGUAUCAAAAUGGCAUUUCCAUGGCAAUACAAAUCCAUAUUACAUAACCUCCGAAAAAUCUUCAUAGUCCUACGUCUAUUCCGGAAAACCGUAUUUAAAAGCAGGAUUGACGACCAAAGAAAAAUGAGAAAGUAACAUUUUAAUGUGGAGCUUAGUAAUCGCCUAGAAUGAAUGGCGAUAUACAGUUUACUGCACCCUCCAAUGCGCAAAAGAGGCAGGAUGGCAAAAUUCAUGACUAUCUUAAGCAAGCCAGGAGACUGCUAAAAAGGUAGGUAUUAGCUCAAUUCCAAGGGGGUGGGGCCCAGUUCACUUGGUGGCGGGCUCUAGAUGGCCAAAGAGGAAGGGAAAGAUAUCCGUUGGUGGCCAGCACCUCGCUAAAAAGGGUGGGUAGAGGCUAACUUCAAGGCAACGGCUGGGGCGAGAGUGUCCCAGGCCCGAAAACCUACUGUGGGGCUCCGCUGAGGCACCCGGUCUCCCGGUUUCCACACGCGUUCAGAGACACAAACUCACCCGCCGCUGAGGAAACGGUACUGCCUUCGCGACCUUCUGGGAUCCAGGUUACGAGUGCGCUCCACUGGUUCGAGAUUUCUGCCCGUCGCUCGCCAGGGAGACUGAGUGCCCAAGCGCCUACUCGCACAGGCCGCAAAUACAGCCGCGCUGCGCGGCGAGCUGAUGGAGGUCUUCCUCUUGCCCGGCGUGCACUGCGGCCGGGGGCGGGGAGCGCGGAACCAUAGAGAAGAACGUAUAUAGAUCGUCUCCGCUGUUGGCUCUGACUCACCAAGCCGAGACGAAUAACCAUAGAGAAGCAGCGUCUAGCGGUUACUAGAAAGGCCCGAACUGUAAAUUAUGACCCACCAUGUUUGAUUGGAGCCGACUGAAUCUUACGACUACGGGACGCCAUCUUGAGGUCAAGGUUCCGGCUGGGCACGGCGCGAGGAGUGUUAGAGGCUUUCUCACUUUUCGUAGUUUUUCGGGGGGUGGAACCUUGCUUUGUGAUUCCUUGAGGUUCGAGGAACUGAUAACUGGGCGCGAUCUGCAACCUUAGUGUUAAACCCCAAGUGCUGUUAUAACAACUACUCGAGAUCAACAAAUAAUUGGCAAAGGCUGUGGAGGUUUUUUGAAAAGCAAAAGCUUAUGCGUAGUUGUAGGGCCAAAGAGGUGGCUAGAAGAUGUUUGGAAAAACGUGAAAAGUCCUGUAAUACUAGUUAACACAGCUUUCGUUCUGUAAUCUAAACGUGCUAAAAGAACUUAGCUUAAGUUAAUGGAAAUGAAUAAAAUUAAUCAUAAAUGAUUACGUUAUUCCAAUUGUGGACCUUAUAGGCAAUAUCUAGUUACACGCCUUUCUCAACUGCUUGCCUCUAGGAAGGCAUAAAACGGAUUCAGUAUAAAGUUAUUGCCUCCCUGAGUUCCUGGUGCUGUGUUAAGUGCUGGAAGUAUGAAGGCAAAUGGAAGUGAGAUUUGUUCCUGUCCUGCAAGAACUGUGAGCCAGUGUGGGCCUCAUUCUAAGUCUGACUUCCCUAAUGCUCAGAAGAUGGCUAUGUUGAGUCCACAAACUUUUGAAUUCAGAAACAAGAUUGAGUUGAUUUCAGAAGCUCUCCCAGAAGAUCAAGAAAGAACUUUCCAGGAUCUCCAGGAACCUGAAUUGAGUCAUACGCCAAAGUGAGUUUCAUGCUCUUUGGCAAAACAAUCAUUGGCAGGAUAGAUGAAAGUAGCUUAGAAGUGACCAAUAUGUCAAGGUCCCAUGAGAAGACUGAAAAAAAGAGAAGAAAGAGGAAAGAAAAGAAUGACAAGAAAGAGAAAGAAAGAAACCAAUAUGCUCUUUGUUCUUUGCUUUUGCUUCCUCAAGCUUUUCUCUGUCUACAAAGCCAACCUCUCCUGCUCAGCUCAUCAGAACAUUCACUCCACUUUCUGGAAUGAAGUGUUGCCUGAUCCUAGAGUCGCAAUAAAGCCA
Molecule: long non-coding RNA, 2426 nt
Filed under: Homo sapiens (human)
Lineage: Eukaryota; Metazoa; Chordata; Mammalia; Primates; Hominidae
Description: HSALNT0377915
Source: RNAcentral